RNAcentral lists this ribosomal RNA (1509 nucleotides) under human gut metagenome. Its description in RNAcentral is "bacterial LSU rRNA". It matches the Rfam family "Bacterial large subunit ribosomal RNA", at positions 1098 to 2619 of the family's 2925-position model. The record is from RNAcentral.
AGGUUGGCUCAGAAGCAGCCAUCCUUUAAAGAGUGCGUAACAGCUCACUAGUCGAGUGACCCUGCGCCGAAAAUGUACCGGGGCUAAGCCUGAUACCGAAACUGCGGAUUGUAGGAAACUAUAGUGGUAGGGGAGCGUUGUAUACGAGCAGAAGCCGUACCGUGAGGAGCGGUGGAUUGUAUAGAAGUGAGAAUGCCGGUGUGAGUAGCGAGAUGUAGGUGAGAAUCCUACACACCGAAAGCCCAAGGAUUCCAGGGGAAGGUUCGUCCGCCCUGGGUAAGUCGGGACCUAACGCGAGGCCGAAAGGCGUAGUGGAUGGAAAGCAGGCGAAAGAUUCCUGCACCCGUAUAUGGAGCGAAGGAGUGACGGAGACGGAUAGUGUGACCCUCUUAAUGGAUUGAGGGCGAAGCGAAGCGGCUGGUUACCAGGCAAAUCCGGUAACCAAAAGGCUAGAGCGUGACAGGUAAGCGAAAUCUUAGGAAAGUAGCGAAGCACAUGAUGACGGCUUCCAGGAAAAGCUUCUGGCAAUGCAUAUGCGGCCCGUACCAAAACCGACACAGGUGGGCAGGGAGAGAAUCCCGAGGUGAGCGAGAGAACUGUUGCCAAGGAACUCGGCAAAAUGACUCCGUAAGUUAGCGAGAAGGAGUGCUUAAGCAAUUAAGCCGCAGUGAAGAGGCCCAAGCGACUGUUUAACUAAAACACAGCUCUCUGCGAAGUCGCAAGACGAAGUAUAGGGGGUGACACCUGCCCGGUGCUGGAAGGUUAAGAGGAUCUGUUAAGAGCGAUCUGAAGCAGUGAUCCGAAGCCCCAGUGAACGGCGGCCGUAACUAUAACGGUCCUAAGGUAGCGAAAUUCCUUGUCAGGUAAGUUCUGACCCGCACGAAUGGCGUAACGACUUGAGAGCUGUCUCAACAACAUACCCGGCGAAAUUGAAGUACUGGUAAAGAUGCCAGUUACCCGUGAUAAGACGGAAAGACCCCAUGGAGCUUUACUGUAACUUGAUAUUGAAUUUUUGUAUUACAUGUACAGGAUAGGUGGGAGACAGAGAACCAAUGCCGCCAGGUGUUGGGGAGUCGAUGUUGGGAUACCACUCUUGUAAUAUGAAGGUUCUAACCUGCACCCGUGAAUCCGGGUGGGGGACACUGUCAGGUGGACAGUUUGACUGGGGCGGUCGCCUCCUAAAAGGUAACGGAGGCGUUCAAAGGUUGGUUCAGCACGGACGGAAAUCGUGCAACGAGUGCAAACGCAUAAACCAGCCUAACUGCGAGACCGACAAGUCGAGCAGUAACGAAAGUUGGAGUUAGUGAUCCGGCGGUAUGAGAGUGGAAUUGCCGUCGCUCAACGGAUAAAAGCUACCCUGGGGAUAACAGGCUGAUCUCCCCCAAGAGUUCACAUCGACGGGGAGGUUUGGCACCUCGAUGUCGGCUCAUCGCAUCCUGGAGCUGAAGUCGGUUCCAAGGGUUGGGCUGUUCGCCCAUUAAAGCGGUACGCGAGCUGGGUUCAGAACGU